Molecule: ribosomal RNA, 292 nt
Filed under: uncultured bacterium
Lineage: Bacteria
Description: partial 16S ribosomal RNA
Source: RNAcentral
GGACUACCGGGGUUUCUAAUCCCGUUCGCUCCCCGCGCUUUCGCGUCUCAGCGUCAGGCGCGGCCCAGGGGGCCGCCUGCGCCACGGGUGUUCCUCCGGAUCUCUACGCAUUUCACCACUACACCCGGAAUUCCACCCCCCUCUACCGGCCUCCAGACGGAUAGUUUUCGCCGACCUCGCCCGGUUAAGCCAGGCGCUUUCACAGCAAACUUACCCGUCCGCCUACACGCGCUUUACGCCCAGUGAUUCCGGACAACGCUCGCCUCCUACGUAUUACCGCGGCUGCUGGCAC